This is a long non-coding RNA of Oncorhynchus keta (chum salmon), 1262 nucleotides long. RefSeq lists it as uncharacterized. The transcript is spliced from 3 exons. The record is from RefSeq and is a predicted model, not a curated record. Lineage: Eukaryota; Metazoa; Chordata; Actinopteri; Salmoniformes; Salmonidae.
UGACUGUAGAGUUAGAGUAAUCAGGUGGGUGGAUUCAUUACUGACUUUCGAGUUAGAGUAAUCAGGUGGGUGGAUUCAUUACUGACUGUAGAGUUGGUUAGAGUAAUCAGGUGGGUGGAUUCAUUACUGACUGUAGAGUUAGAGUAAUCAGGUGGGUGGAUUCAUUACUGACUGUAGAGUUAGAGUAAUCAGGUGGGUGGAUUCAUUACUGACUGUAGAGUUAGAGUAAUCAGGUGGGUGGAUUCAUUACUGACUUUCGAGUUAGAGUAAUCAGGUGGGUGGAUUCAUUACUGACUGUAGAGUUAGAGUAAUCAGGUGGGUGGAUUCAUUACUGACUGUAGAGUUAGAGUAAUCAGGUGGGUGGAUUCAUUACUGACUGUAGAGUUAGAGUAAUCAGGUGGGUGGAUUCAUUACUGACUGUAGAGUUAGAGUAAUCAGGUGGGUGGAUUCAUUACUGACUGUAGGUGGCACCACAACCCCACUGUACCUCCCUGAAUACAGUGGCAAUGGGUUGAGGGAAAGAAGUAGUUUCAGCUUUUGUUCCUUCACUGGCACUAGUCUGUCUUUCUCAAGUACAUUUGAAAGGUGCUUUAUGCAAUACUUCCACAUGGAAUGUCACUAAGGGCACUUUCACAUAUCCCCUUAUGAUCUGGACCCUGGAAAGUUUGGUACCCUGAUCUGAGCUAUAAAGCAUGUUUGAAACAGAAACAAACCCUAGCUUCAACGAAUCCUGGUCCUGCGUGAGUAGCGGGUUCAAGACCCAGGACUAGAGUACCAGGUGGCAGUGCGAGACAGGUGGAACUUUUUGCCCGUUUUAAACAAGCUAACUUGCUACCAUCAUGUAGAACAGUGUUUCCCAACCAUGGUCCUCCAGUACCUCCAACAUUACACAGUUUCAUUGUAGACCUGGACAACCACACCUCAUUCAACUCAUUGAGGGCUUGAAGAUUAGUUAACAAGUUGAAUCAGGUGUGCUUGUCCAGGGUUACAAUAAACAUGUGUACUGUUGGGGGUACUGGAGGACUUGCUAAUUGCACCCUGAAACUUUUAUUUACAGGUUUUGUGAAAUCAAAACGUAUUCUGUAGAAUUCUCACAAACGAUCCAGAAAACUGAACCAGAGUACCAAAUUUCAUAUGUGAGAAUGCCCUAAUGUCAAUGACAGGAUGUGAUCUCAUCUACACUCAAAGCCAGAACAAAACAAUUGUUGCUUGAAUGAGUCAGAUUAUUUUGUUAGAAUCUUUCUAUCUCUGCUUUACUCAUA